This 253-nucleotide unclassified non-coding RNA is filed under the name uncultured Caryophanales bacterium. RNAcentral's name for it is "uncultured Bacillales bacterium contains 16S-23S intergenic spacer region". It matches the Rfam family "Bacterial small subunit ribosomal RNA", at positions 524 to 776 of the family's 1533-position model. The record is from RNAcentral. Lineage: Bacteria; Bacillati; Bacillota; Bacilli; Caryophanales.
UACGUAGGUGGCAAGCGUUGUCCGGAAUUAUUGGGCGUAAAGCGCGCGCAGGCGGCCACUUAAGUCUGAUGUGAAACCCCCAGGCUCAACCGGGGAGGGCCAUUUGAAACUGUGAGGCUUGAGUAUAGGAGAGGAAAGUGGAAUUCCAAGUGUAGCGGUGAAAUGCGUAGAGAUGUGGAGGAACACCAGUGGCGAAGGCGACUCUUUGGCCUAUAACUGACGCUGAGGCGCGAAAGCGUGGGGAGCAAACAGG